This 477-nucleotide ribosomal RNA is filed under the name uncultured anaerobic ammonium-oxidizing bacterium. RNAcentral describes it as "bacterial SSU rRNA". It matches the Rfam family "Bacterial small subunit ribosomal RNA", at positions 365 to 832 of the family's 1533-position model. The record is from RNAcentral.
UUCGCAAUGCCCGAAAGGGUGACGAUGCGACGCCGCGUGAGCGAAGAAGGCCCUAGGGUUGUAAAGCUCUGUCGAGGGUUAUGAAAUAUAGAUGGGUUAAUACCCCAUUUAUUUGACAAAAGCCCAAAAGGAAGCCACGGCUAACUCUGUGCCAGCAGCCGCGGUAAUACAGAGGUGGCGAGCGUUGUUCGGUAUUAUUGGGCGUAAAGAGCACGUAGGUGGGUUUAUAAGUCAGAUGUGAAAGCCUUCUGCUCAACGGGAGAAUUGCAUCUGAAACUGUAAGUCUUGAGUAUAGGAGGGGAGAAUGGAACUUCUGGUGGAGCGGUGAAAUGCGUAGAUAUCAGAAGGAACGCCGGCGGCGAAAGCGAUUCUCUGGCCUAUUACUGACACUCAGUGUGCGAAAGCUAGGGGAGCAAACGGGAUUAGAUACCCCGGUAGUCCUGGCUGUAAACGAUGGGCACUAAGUAGAGGGGUUUU